This 1778-nucleotide long non-coding RNA is filed under the name Danio rerio (zebrafish). Its description in RNAcentral is "lncRNA (ENSDARG00000117668.1)". The record is from RNAcentral. Lineage: Eukaryota; Metazoa; Chordata; Actinopteri; Cypriniformes; Danionidae.
AUGAAGACGGAGAUCAUGUGGAAAAUGUUGCGUACACUGACGGCUAUGAACAAGACUAUGACUGGGAUGGAGAGUAUUAUGAGCAAGACUCGGCAGCUUAUGAUGACUGCAGACCCAAGAGGAAAUCCAGCAGUUCACCUUCACCUCGUCCAAAGAAGAGGAAAAAGAAGAAGGCACGAAGACACAGCCGAGACAAGAGGAAGAAAAGCGGAAAGAAACACAAAAGAGACAGGUGUGUAUGUGUGUGUUCAUUCACACAGGUGUGCAUCAUUCACCAGUCCAUUAGCUCUGAUCUUCCUGCCAGUAAUCAUCAAUCUGUCCCUCAGGGAAUGUGUUGAAGAGCACACUGUAAUGUAGCUAUGCAGUAUGCUAAUUUUCUGCAUUUAUCACUUCUGUACUUCAAGCAACCCAAAGUGUCAUUGUAUUAUAAAUGAGUAACCAAAAUGCAUGAAAAGAUUUAGUUAAAAGUUUCAUGUCAUAUAAAUACACUCAUCGGCCACUUUAUUAGGUACACCUGACUAGUACCGGGUUGGACCCCUUUUGCCAUUAGAACUGCCUUAAUCCGUUGCUGCAUAGAUUCAUCAAGGUACUGGAAAUAUUCCUCAGAGAUUUUGCCCCAUAUUGACAUGAGAGCAUCACACAGUUGCUGCAGAUUUGUCGGCUGCACAUCCAUGAUGUAAAUCUUCAAUUCCACCACAUCCCAAAGGCGCUCUAUUGGAUUGAGCUCUGGUGACUGUGGAGGCCAUUUGAGUACAGUGAACUCAUUGUCAUGUUCCAGAAACCAGUCUGAGAUGAUUCACGCUUUAUGACAUGAUGUGGUAUCCUGCUGGAAGUAGCCAUCAGAAGAUGGGGACACUGUGCUCAUAAAGGGAUGGACAUGUUCAGCAGCAAUACUCAGGCAGGCUGUGGCGUUGACAUGAUGCUCAAUUGGUACUGAUGAGUCCAAAGUGUGCCAAGAAAAUCUCCCCCACACCAUCACACCACCACCACCAGCCUGAACCGCUGAUACAAGGGAGGAUGGAUCCAUGCUUUUAUGUUGUUGAUGCCAGAUUCUGACCCGACCAUCAGAAUGUGGCAGCAGAAAUGGAGACUCAUCAGAGCAGGCAACGUUUCUCCAAUCUUCUAUUGUCCAGUUUUGGUGAGUCUGUGUCAAUUGUAGCCUCAGUUUCCUGUUCUUAGCUGACAGGAGUGGCACCCGGUGUGGUCUUCUGCUCCUGUAGCCCAUCCGCCUCAGGGUUGGACGUGUUGUGCGUUCAGAGAUGCUCUUCUGCAGACCUCGGUUGUAGCGAGUGCUUAUUUGAGUUACUGUUGCCUUUCUGUGAGCUGAACCAGUCUGGCCAUUCUCCUCUGAUCCUCUGAUCAGCAGUUUCUGAAAUAGUCAGAGCAGCCCGUCUGGCACCAACAACCAAGCCACGUUUAAAGUCACUUUAAUCCCCUUUCUUCCCCAUUUUGAUGCUCAGUUUGAACUGCAGCAUAUCAACUUGACCAUGUAUACAUGCCUAAAUGCAUUGAGCUGCUGCCAUGUGAUUGGCUGAUUAGAAAUUUGCGUUAAUGAGCAGUUAGACAGGUGUACCUAAUAAAGCGGCCGGUGAGUAUUAUAUUAUAUUAUAUUAUAUUAUAUUAUAUUAUAUUAUAUUAUAUUAUAUUAUAUUAUAUUAUAUUAUAUUAUAUUACUUAGUCUUAGUCCCUUAUUUAUCAGGGGUCGCCACAGCUGAAUGAACCACCAACAGUUCUAGCAUAUGUUUUACAUAGCGGAUACCCAUCCAGCCACAACCCGG